RNAcentral lists this ribosomal RNA (879 nucleotides) under Amanita sp. RNAcentral's name for it is "LSU rRNA". It matches the Rfam family "Eukaryotic large subunit ribosomal RNA", at positions 80 to 922 of the family's 3401-position model. The record is from RNAcentral. Lineage: Eukaryota; Fungi; Basidiomycota; Agaricomycetes; Agaricales; Amanitaceae.
CUAGUAACUGCGAGUGAAGCGGGAAAAGCUCAAAUUUGAAAUCUGGCAGUCCCUUUUUUCUUCCUUGGCUGUCCGAGUUGUAAUCUAGAGAAGUGCUUACCUGCGCUGGACCAUGUAUAAGUCUCCUGGAAUGGAGCGUCACAGAGGGUGAGAAUCCCGUCUUUGACAUGGACCGCCAGCGUGUUGUGGUGUGCUCUCAAAGAGUCGAGUUGUUUGGGAAUGCAGCUCUAAAUGGGUGGUAAACUCCAUCUAAAGCUAAAUAUUGGCGAGAGACCGAUAGCGAACAAGUACCGUGAGGGAAAGAUGAAAAGGACUUUGGAAAGAGAGUUAAACAGUAUGUGAAAUUGUUGAAAGGGAAACGCUUGAAGUCAGUUAUGUCGGCUAGGGAUCAGCCUAGUCUUUUGGCUGGGUGAAUUUCCUUGUCUGACAGGCCAACAUCAGUUUUGACUGCCAGAAAAGAGCAAAGGGAAUGUGGCACCUUUGGGUGUGUUAUAGCCUUUUGUCAUAUGUGGCAGUUGGGACUGAGGGAUGCAGCGCGCCGUUUUUGGCUGGGUUUCGACCACAUUUGCGCUUAGGAUGUUGGCUUUUCGACGGCUUUAAUCGACCCGUCUUGAAACACGGACCAAGGAGUCUAACAUGCCUGUGAGUGUUUGGGUGGUUAAAACCCUUGCGCACAAUGAAAGUGAAAGUUGAGAUCCCUGUCGCAGGGAGCAUCGACGCCCGGACCUGAGCUUUUAGCGAUGGACCUGCGGUAGAGCAUGCAUGUUGGGACCCGAAAGAUGGUGAACUAUGCCUGAAUAGGGCGAAGCCAGAGGAAACUCUGGUGGAGGCUCGUAGCGAUUCUGACGUGCAAAUCGAUCGUCGAAUUUGGGUAUAGGG